Molecule: non-coding RNA, 64 nt
Filed under: uncultured Succiniclasticum sp.
Lineage: Bacteria; Bacillati; Bacillota; Negativicutes; Acidaminococcales; Acidaminococcaceae
Source: RNAcentral
AGUAACAACGAACUGUGAGAAGUCAGCUGAGGUCAUAGUACCGUUUUCUUUUGACGGGAAGGAC